UACGUAGGGUGCGAGCGUUAAUCGGAAUUACUGGGCGUAAAGCGUGCGCAGGCGGUUGUGCAAGACAGAUGUGAAAUCCCCGGGCUCAACCUGGGAAUUGCAUUUGUGACUGCACGGCUAGAGUGUGUCAGAGGGGGGUAGAAUUCCACGUGUAGCAGUGAAAUGCGUAGAGAUGUGGAGGAAUACCGAUGGCGAAGGCAGCCCCCUGGGAUAACACUGACGCUCAUGCACGAAAGCGUGGGGAGCAAACAGG
This 253-nucleotide ribosomal RNA is filed under the name uncultured bacterium. RNAcentral describes it as "partial 16S ribosomal RNA". It matches the Rfam family "Bacterial small subunit ribosomal RNA", at positions 524 to 776 of the family's 1533-position model. The record is from RNAcentral.